UAGCUUGCUAAUGAAAUUCUUAGUGGCGGACGGGUUAGUAACACGUGAGAAUCCUACCCUUGAGUGGGGAAUAGCCUUUCGAAAGGAAGAUUAAUGCCCCAUAGUCUCUACGGAGUAAAGAUGCCUUCGGGUGUCGCUUAAGGAUGGGCUCGCGGCCUAUCAGCUAGUUGGUGAGGUAAGAGCUCACCAAGGCAACGACGGGUAGCUGGUCUGAGAGGACGAUCAGCAACACUGGAACUGAGACACGGUCCAGACACCUACGGGUGGCAGCAGUCGAGAAUCAUUCACAAUGGACGAAAGUCUGAUGGUGCAACGCCGCGUGGAGGAUGACGGCCCUAGGGUUGUAAACUCCUGUCAUCAGGGAGUAAGACUUAUUCGUUAAUAGCGUGUAAGUUUGAUAGUACCUGAAGAGGAAGGGACGGCUAACUUCGUGCCAGCAGCCGCGGUAAUACGAAGGUCCCAAGCGUUGUUCGGAAUAACUGGGCGUAAAGCGUGUGUAGGCCGCGCGGAAAGUCGGAUGUGAAAGCCCAAGGCUCAACC
Molecule: ribosomal RNA, 540 nt
Filed under: uncultured Roseibacillus sp.
Lineage: Bacteria; Pseudomonadati; Verrucomicrobiota; Verrucomicrobiia; Verrucomicrobiales; Verrucomicrobiaceae
Description: bacterial SSU rRNA
Rfam family: Bacterial small subunit ribosomal RNA
Source: RNAcentral